Molecule: long non-coding RNA, 653 nt
Filed under: Apis dorsata (giant honeybee)
Lineage: Eukaryota; Metazoa; Arthropoda; Insecta; Hymenoptera; Apidae
Description: uncharacterized LOC102675662, transcript variant X2
Source: RNAcentral
CAGAUUUUCUUCAAAUAAUUUUAUGCAACCAAUCCAAGCGCACAUCUAACUAAGCAAAGGGGUGAAUCCAAUCCUAUUCUCUAACCUUCCUUUGCGAUGACCUUAGCCAACCGCUCAUCAUUCCACCAAGCACGUAUUGCUCGGCUGAUUUGCAUAAGACCGGAAUGCUGAAGAUGAAACCACAUUCCUCGUGCCACUUAAUAGCAAUGAAAGAACGUCUAAUCGUUCUAUUCGGUAGACGUCUCUGAUCAUCUCGACUACUAUUUUGCGAGGCUUGGAAUUGUAUGAAUUUCUUCUCUGAUGGAUGCUAAAGGGUUAAUAGUUGAUGAUUGUUCAACGAAGAAAACGUUCUUUCACGCGAGGUCAGAGAAGAAAAGAGGGCAGUAAAGAUCAAGGAGCCCCAUUAAAUUCGAAGCAGAUGCAUAUAAAAGAAAUAUGCCCAUUUCAUAAAUUACAUGAUAAUAUAAACCGAAAUUACUGAUCCAACCUUAUGUAAUCGUGAAUUUGAUGGGCCAAAAUGUAAGUCUGAAAGAAGGUAAAUCUAAAGAGGAAUUCUUGAAUUCUUUUGUCAUAAUCAAUCUUCUUUUAUGGACAUUCAAAUCAAAUAUUGAUGAAUUUUUGAAUGAAUAUUAAACUGAUAAAACGAAUAUGAA